RNAcentral lists this transfer RNA (73 nucleotides) under Salmonella enterica subsp. enterica serovar Newport. RNAcentral describes it as "tRNA-Met". It matches the Rfam family "tRNA". From Rfam's summary of the family: Transfer RNA (tRNA) molecules are approximately 80 nucleotides in length. Their secondary structure includes four short double-helical elements and three loops (D, anti-codon, and T loops). Further hydrogen bonds mediate the characteristic L-shaped molecular structure. tRNAs have two regions of fundamental functional importance: the anti-codon, which is responsible for specific mRNA codon recognition, and the 3' end, to which the tRNAs corresponding amino acid is attached (by aminoacyl-tRNA synthetases). tRNAs cope with the degeneracy of the genetic code in two manners: having more than one tRNA (with a specific anti-codon) for a particular amino acid; and 'wobble' base-pairing, i.e. permitting non-standard base-pairing at the 3rd anti-codon position. The record is from RNAcentral. Lineage: Bacteria; Pseudomonadati; Pseudomonadota; Gammaproteobacteria; Enterobacterales; Enterobacteriaceae.
GCGGGGUGGAGCAGCCUGGUAGCUCGUCGGGCUCAUAACCCGAAGGUCGUCGGUUCAAAUCCGGCCCCCGACG